This 408-nucleotide ribosomal RNA is filed under the name uncultured bacterium. RNAcentral describes it as "partial 16S ribosomal RNA". It matches the Rfam family "Bacterial small subunit ribosomal RNA", at positions 28 to 526 of the family's 1533-position model. The record is from RNAcentral.
GACGAACGCUGGCGGCGUGCUUAACACAUGCAAGUCGAACGAAGUGGCGAACGGGUGAGUAAUACGUGGGUAACCUGCCCUCCUUUUUGGGAUAAGCCUUGGAAACGGGGUCUAAUACCGAAUACAGGGGGAUGGGCUCGCGGCCUCUCCGCUUGUUGGUGGGGUGAUGGCCUACCAAGGCGGUGACGGGUAGCCGGCGUGCGAGGGUGACCGGCAACAUGGGGACUGAGACACGGCCCAGACGCCGACGGGAGGCAGCAGGGGGGAAUAUUGGACAAUGGGCGCAAGCCGGAUGCAGCCAGGCCGCGUGUAGGAAGAAGGCCUUAGGGUUGUAAAGUACUUUCAGCGGGGAGGCGUUACCCGCAGAAGAAGCACCGGCUAACUCCGUGCCAGCAGCCGCGGUAAUAC